AUAUAUUUAGUAAAAGAUUUACGUCGGGUUUAGGACCCGGAGAUGCACAAUAUAUU
This 56-nucleotide transfer RNA is filed under the name Cucullanus robustus. Its description in RNAcentral is "tRNA-Leu". The record is from RNAcentral. Lineage: Eukaryota; Metazoa; Nematoda; Chromadorea; Rhabditida; Cucullanidae.